Molecule: non-coding RNA, 78 nt
Organism: Schistosoma mattheei
Lineage: Eukaryota; Metazoa; Platyhelminthes; Trematoda; Strigeidida; Schistosomatidae
Source: Rfam
AGCCUUCUGUAUCCGUGCUGCGAUUUCGCCACAUACUAGGCCACAAGGGUUGAUGAAACUCCCAAGAUAAGUGAAGAG